RNAcentral lists this ribosomal RNA (428 nucleotides) under uncultured archaeon. RNAcentral describes it as "bacterial SSU rRNA". It matches the Rfam family "Archaeal small subunit ribosomal RNA", at positions 474 to 903 of the family's 1478-position model. The record is from RNAcentral.
UACCAGCUCUCCGAGUGGUAGGGAUGAUUAUUGGGCUUAAAGCGUCCGUAGCCGGCUUAGCAAGUCUCCUGUCAAAUUCAGCGACCUAAUCGUUGAGCCGCGGGAGACACUACUAGGCUAGGAGGCGGGAGAGGCCGACGGUAUUCUCGGGGUAGGGGUGAAAUCCUAUAAUCCCGGGAGGACCACCAGUGGCGAAGGCUGUCGGCUAGAGCGCGCUCGACGGUGAGGGACGAAAGCUGGGGGAGCGAACCGGAUUAGAUACCCGGGUAGUCCCAGCUGUAAACGAUGCGGGCUAGGUGUUGGGGUGGCUACGAGCCACUUCAGUGCCGCAGGGAAGCCAUUAAGCCCGCCGCCUGGGGAGUACGGCCGCAAGGCUGAAACUUAAAGGAAUUGGCGGGGAGCACCACAAGGCGUGAAGCUUGCGGUUC